CCUCUUGGAUACUGUGGCAAUUCUAGAGCUAAUACAUGCAGUGAGCCUGAAGCCCUUUGGGCGACGGGUGCUUUUAUUAGACCAAGAUCGAUCGGGUUUCGGCCCGUAUUGUGUGGUGACUCUGGAUAACUUUGUGCUGAUCGCAUGGCCACGAGCCGGCGACGUUUCUUUCAAGUGUCUGCCUUAUCAACUUUCGAUGGUAGGUUACUUGCUUACCAUGGUUGUUACGGGUAACGGAGAAUCAGGGUUCGAUUCCGGAGAGGGAGCCUGAGAAACGGCUACCACAUCCAAGGAAGGCAGCAGGCGCGCAAAUUACCCACUCCCGGCACGGGGAGGUAGUGACGAAAAAUAACAAUACGGGACUCUUUUGAGGCCCCGUAAUUGAAAUGAGUACACUCUAAAUCCUUUAACGAGGAUCAAUUGGAGGGCAAGUCUGGUGCCAGCAGCCGCGGUAAUUCCAGCUCCAAUAGCGUAUACUAAAGCUGCUGCGGUUAAAAAGCUCGUAGUUGGAUCUCAGUUCCAGACGAGUAGUGCAUCUACCCGAUGCGACGGCUCGGACUGAACAUCAUGCCGGUCCUUUCUUGGUGCACUUCAUUGUGUGCCUCGAGAAGGCCGGUGCUUUUACUUUGAAAAAAUUAGAGUGCUCAACGCAGGCGAGUCGCCUGAAUAAACUUGCAUGGAAUAAUAGAACAAGACCUCGUUUCUGUUCUGUUGGUUUUUGGAAUACGAGGUAAUGAUUAAGAGGGACAGACGGGGGCAUUCGAUUUUUCGGGGGCGAAA
Molecule: ribosomal RNA, 780 nt
Filed under: Dermacentor nuttalli
Lineage: Eukaryota; Metazoa; Arthropoda; Arachnida; Ixodida; Ixodidae
Description: SSU rRNA
Rfam family: Eukaryotic small subunit ribosomal RNA
Source: RNAcentral